This 740-nucleotide ribosomal RNA is filed under the name uncultured bacterium. RNAcentral's name for it is "bacterial SSU rRNA". It matches the Rfam family "Bacterial small subunit ribosomal RNA", at positions 46 to 763 of the family's 1533-position model. The record is from RNAcentral.
GCUUACCAUGCAGUCGUACGAGAAACCCCGGCUUGCCGGGGGAGUAAAGUGGCGCACGGGUGACUAACGCGUGGGUAAUCUACCCUCGAAUUGGGGAUAACACACCGAAAGGUGUGCUAAUACCGAAUAAGACCACGAUCCCCACGGGGAUUGCGGUCAAAGAUGGCCUCUGCUUGCAAGCUGUCGUUUGAGGAUGAGCCCGCGUACCAUUAGCUUGUUGGUGGGGUAAUGGCCUACCAAGGCAACGAUGGUUAGCUGGUCUGAGAGGAUGGCCAGCCACACUGGAACUGGAACACGGUCCAGACUCCUACGGGAGGCAGCAGUGAGGAAUUUUGCGCAAUGGGGGAAACCCUGACGCAGCAACGCCGCGUGAGUGAAGAAGGCCCUCGGGUUGUAAAGCUCUGUCAAGUGGGAAGAACCUUUUUCGGUCGAAUAAGCCGAGAAACUGACGGUACCGCUGAAGGAAGCACCGGCUAACUCCGUGCCAGCAGCCGCGGUAAUACGGAGGGUGCAAGCGUUAUUCGGAUUUAUUGGGCGUAAAGGGCGUGUAGGUGGUCUGAUAAGUCAGGUGUGAAAGCCCCUGGCUCAACCAGGGAAGUGCAUUUGAAACUAUCAGACUUGAGUACGGGAGGGGGAAGUGGAAUUCCUGGUGUAGAGGUGAAAUUCGUAGAUAUCAGGAGGAAUACCGGUGGCGAAGGCGACUUCCUGGACCGAUACUGACACUGAGACGCGAAAGCGUG